Mycena epipterygia is the source of this 89-nucleotide non-coding RNA. The record is from the annotation of a GenBank genome assembly. NCBI's taxonomy places the organism in Eukaryota, Fungi, Basidiomycota, Agaricomycetes, Agaricales, Mycenaceae.
GACCUAGUGGUGAAAGGAAUCACGCCCACUUCUCUUGCGACUUGCAAAGAAUGCAGCAGGAGCUCCCGGUUCGAGUCCGGGCUGGGUCA